GAUGAACGCUGACAGAAUGCUUAACACAUGCAAGUCAACUUGAACUUCGGUUUGGGUGGCGGACGGGUGAGUAACGCGUAAAGAACUUGCCUCACAGCUAGGGACAACAUUUGGAAACGAAUGCUAAUACCUGAUAUUAUGAUUUUAGGGCAUCCUAGAAUUAUGAAAGCUAUAUGCGCUGUGGGAGAGCUUUGCGUCCCAUUAGCUAGUUGGAGAGGUAACGGCUCACCAAGGCGAUGAUGGGUAGCCGGCCUGAGAGGGUGAACGGCCACAAGGGGACUGAGACACGGCCCUUACUCCUACGGGAGGCAGCAGUGGGGAAUAUUGGACAAUGGACCAAGAGUCUGAUCCAGCAAUUCUGUGUGCACGAUGAAGUUUUUCGGAAUGUAAAGUGCUUUCAGUUGGGAAGAAAAAAAUGACGGUACCAACAGAAGAAGUGACGGCUAAAUACGUG
This 454-nucleotide ribosomal RNA is filed under the name uncultured bacterium. RNAcentral describes it as "partial 16S ribosomal RNA". It matches the Rfam family "Bacterial small subunit ribosomal RNA", at positions 28 to 507 of the family's 1533-position model. The record is from RNAcentral.